RNAcentral lists this ribosomal RNA (229 nucleotides) under uncultured bacterium. Its description in RNAcentral is "partial 16S ribosomal RNA". It matches the Rfam family "Bacterial small subunit ribosomal RNA", at positions 568 to 796 of the family's 1533-position model. The record is from RNAcentral.
UCCGUAGGCGGGCAGCUAAGUCAGUGGUGAAAGUCUGCAGCUCAACUGUAGAAUUGCCAUUGAUACUGGUUGUCUUGAAUUAUUAUGAAGUGGUUAGAAUAUGUAGUAUAGCGGUGAAAUGCAUAGAUAUUACAUAGAAUACCAAUUGCGAAGGCAGAUCACUAAUAAUAUAUUGACGCUGAUGGACGAAAGCGUGGGGAGCGAACAGGAUUAGAUACCCUGGUAGUCC